UGAACUUGAAGCAAGGCAACAUGAAUAUGAAGAAGUAUGCCUAAAAUUUUAGCAACUGUCCCGUUAUGCCCCAAAGUUGGUAUCUAAUACAAGGUCCUAAAUGAGAAUGUUUUCUUAUGGUUUGUCUUAUGACCUGGUAUUGGAAUGCAAGGCUGUGAGGUUGAAUAAUGAUAUGGACAUCUCCAGGUUGGUGGUUUAUGUACAGUGGUAGAAAAAGAGAGAAAAAAAUAGGUAAAUAUGGAAGAAAGGUAGAAUAAGAAGUUUAGAUAUUCAGAGUAGGGUGCAAAUCAAUAGAAUA
Molecule: long non-coding RNA, 298 nt
Filed under: Capsicum annuum
Lineage: Eukaryota; Viridiplantae; Streptophyta; Magnoliopsida; Solanales; Solanaceae
Description: long non-coding RNA (CANN_LNC008538)
Source: RNAcentral